This 450-nucleotide ribosomal RNA is filed under the name uncultured bacterium. RNAcentral's name for it is "partial 16S ribosomal RNA". It matches the Rfam family "Bacterial small subunit ribosomal RNA", at positions 354 to 796 of the family's 1533-position model. The record is from RNAcentral.
GUGGGGAAUCUUCCGCAAUGGACGAAAGUCUGACGGAGCAACGCCGCGUGAGUGAUGAAGGUCUUCGGAUUGUAAAGCUCUGUUAGUCGGGACGAAAGAGCCUAGUGUGAAUAAUGCUAGGAAGUGACGGUACCGGAAUAGAAAGCCACGGCUAACUACGUGCCAGCAGCCGCGGUAAUACGUAGGUGGCAAGCGUUGUCCGGAAUUAUUGGGCGUAAAGCGCGCGCAGGCGGAUCUGCCAGUCUGUCUUAAAAGUUCGGGGCUUAACCCCGUGAUGGGAUGGAAACUACAGAUCUAGAGUAUCGGAGAGGAAAGUGGAAGUCCUAGUGUAGCGGUGAAAUGCGUAGAUAUUAGGAAGAACACCAGUGGCGAAGGCGACUUUCUGGACGAAAACUGACGCUGAGGCGCGAAAGCCAGGGGAGCGAACGGGAUUAGAAACCCCUGUAGUCC